GGGGGGGCAACUCCCCGAGUAGAGUGGCGCACGGGUGAGUAACGCGUGGGUAAUCUGCCUUCGAGUGGGGAAUAACCUCGCGAAAGCGGGGCUAAUGCCGCAUAACAUCCUCUUCUCCUCGGAGAGGGGGAUCAAAGAUAACCUCUGCAUGCAAGUCGUCGCUCGAAGAGGAGCCCGCGUCCCAUUAGCUAGUUGGUAGGGUGACGGCCUACCAAGGCGACGAUGAGUAGCCGGCCUGAGAGGGUGACCGGCCACACUGGAACUGAGACACGGCCCAGACUCCUACGGGAGGCAGCAGUGAGGAAUAUUGCGCAAUGGGCGAAAGCCUGACGCAGCGACGCCGCGUGGAGGAUGAAGGCCUUCGGGUCGUAAACUCCUGUCGAGGGAGACGAAAUGGUGCCUUGUUAAUAGCGAGGUGCCUUGGCUGUGUCCCUGGAGGAAGCCCGGCUAACUCCGUGCCAGCAGCCGCGGUAAUACGGAGGGGGCCAGCGUUGCUCGGAAUCACUGGGCGUAAAGGGCUCGUAGGCGGUCUGAUAAGUCCUGUGUGAAAUCGCUUGGCUUACCAAGGAACUGCACGGAUACUGUCGGACUAGAGGCCGGGAGAGGAACGGAAUCCCAGUGUAGCGGUGAAUGCGUAGAUAUUGGGAGGAACACCGGUGGCGAAGGCGGCUUCCUGGACCGUUCUGACACUCAGAGCAAAGCUAGGGAGCAACAGGAUAGAUACCCUGGAGUCUAGCUGUAACGAUGGCGCUUGUGUUGCGGUAUGACCCUGCAGUGCGAGCUACGCAUAACGCCCGCUGGGAGACGGCGCUGGUGAACUCAAGGAUUGCGGGG
RNAcentral lists this ribosomal RNA (834 nucleotides) under uncultured delta proteobacterium. RNAcentral's name for it is "bacterial SSU rRNA". It matches the Rfam family "Bacterial small subunit ribosomal RNA", at positions 73 to 873 of the family's 1533-position model. Lineage: Bacteria; Deltaproteobacteria. The record is from RNAcentral.